AUACGGGGGGAGCGAGCGUUGUUCGGAUUUACUGGGCGUAAAGGGCGCGUAGGUGGGUCGUCAAGUCGAAUGUGAAAACCAGCGGCUUAACUGCUGGCCUGCAUUUGAUACUGUUGAUCUUGAGUACGGGAGAGGAAAGCGGAAUUCCUGGUGUAGCGGUGAAAUGCGUAGAUAUCAGGAGGAACACCGGUGGCGAAGGCGGCUUUCUGGCCCGAUACUGACACUGAGGCGCGAAGGCCGGGGGAGCAAACAGGAUUAGAUACCCUGGUAGUCCCGGCGGUAAACGAUGGGCACUAGGUGUUGGAGGUAUCGACCCCUCCAGUGCCGCAGCUAACGCAUUAAGUGCCCCGCCUGGGGAGUACGGCCGCAAGGCUGAA
This 377-nucleotide ribosomal RNA is filed under the name uncultured bacterium. Its description in RNAcentral is "bacterial SSU rRNA". It matches the Rfam family "Bacterial small subunit ribosomal RNA", at positions 523 to 898 of the family's 1533-position model. The record is from RNAcentral.